RNAcentral lists this ribosomal RNA (253 nucleotides) under uncultured bacterium. RNAcentral describes it as "partial 16S ribosomal RNA". It matches the Rfam family "Bacterial small subunit ribosomal RNA", at positions 524 to 776 of the family's 1533-position model. The record is from RNAcentral.
GACAGAGGGUGCAAACGUUGUUCGGAAUUACUGGGCGUAAAGCGCGUGUAGGUGGCGAUGUAAGUCGGGUGUGAAAUCCCUUGGCUUAACCAAGGAAGUGCAUUCGAUACUGUGUCGCUUGAGUAUCGGAGGGGUCGGCGGAAUUCCCGGUGUAGAGGUGAAAUUCGUAGAUAUCGGGAGGAACACCUGUGGCGAAGGCGGCCGACUGGACGAUCACUGACACUGAGGAGCGAAAGCGUGGGGAGCGAACAGG